GCCUAAACCCGCACGUUUUGUUGACCCGAGCAGCAAGAAGGAGCUGGUGCCAGUGAAGUUCUCCUGUGGGUUUAGGGUUGGUUUAGGCUGGGUUUAGGUCAGGUUUAGAUCAGGUUUAGGCCUAAACCCGCACGUUUUGUUGACCCGAGCAGCAAGAAGGAGCCGGCGCCGGUGAAGCCCAGCAAAGCCGCGCCCGCCUACGAGUCGGAGGAGGAGGAGAAGUGCAAGCCCAUGUCCUACGAGGAGAAGCGGCAGCUGAGCCUGGACAUCAACAAACUGCCCGGGGAGAAGCUGGGCAGGGUCGUGCACAUCAUCCAGUCCCGCGAGCCCUCGCUCAAGAACUCCAACCCCGACGAGAUCGAGAUCGACUUCGAGACGCUGAAGCCGUCGACGUUGCGCGAGCUCGAGCGCUACGUCACCUCCUGCCUGCGCAAGAAGAGGAAACCCCCAGGUACCUCCAGACCCCAAAAUUUAAGGGUUUUAGCCUGAUUUUAUGGUGGUUUUAAUUCCCAGGGUUGGGUUUUUGGGGAGGUUUUGGGAGGUGGUUUGGCCUCGCCAAGAUGGCGGCGGGCAGGAUUCAAAAUGGCAGCGGGUAGGAUUCAAAAUGGCGGCAGGUGGGAUUCAAAAUGGCGGCAGUGGGAUUCAAAAUGGCGGCAGAUGGGAUUCAAAAUGAAGGUGGGCAGGAUUCAAAAUGGCAGCAAGUGGGAGAUUCAGAAUGGAGGCAGGUGGGAGAUUCAAAUUGGCAGCAGUGGGAUUCAAAAUGGCGGCAGGGAUUCAAAAUGGAGGCAGGUGGGAGAUUCAAAAUGGCGGCAGGUAGGAUUCAAAAUGGCAGCAGUGGGAUUCGGAAUGGAGGCAGGUGGGACUCGAGAUGGCGGCAGGUGGGAUUCAAAAUGGCGGCCACUGUUGGUCUCAUUUUAUUUGUAACAAUUAAAGAUUUUUUUUUUAAAGUUUCAAUAUUGUAAAAUAUUGGAUGCACGUUUGCAGCAAAGCGAUUUGGGUUUGGGAUUAACCAAUCGGGUUUGGGAUUAACCAGUCGGGUUUGGGAUUAACCAGUUGGGAUGAACCAGCUGGGUUUAGGAUUGACUAGUUGAGUUUGGGACUGACCAGCUGGGUUUAGAACCAACCAGUUGGGUUCAGGAUGACCCAGUUGGGUUCAGAACCAACCACUUGGGUUUACGAUGUCCCAGUUGAGGUUAGAACCCACCAGGUGAGUUUAGGAUGACCCAGUUGAGUUCAGGAUGGCCCAGUUGAGUUUAAGGUGUGACCCACUUGAGUGUAGAACCAACCAGUUGAGCUUGGGAUGACCCAGGUGAGUUGAGGCUGCCCCAGUUGAGUUUAGAACCAACCAGUUGAGUUUAGAACCAGCCAGUUGAGUUCAGGAUGGCCCAGUUGAGUUUAAGGUGACCCACUUGAGUGUAGAACCAACCAGUUAAGUUUAGAACCAACUGGUUGGGUUUAGCAUGACCCAGUUGAGUGUAGAACCAACCAGUUGUGCUUGGGAUGACCCAGCUGAGUUUAGGAUGACCCAGUUGGGUUUACAACCAACCAGUUGAGUUUAGAACCAACCAGUU
Junco hyemalis (dark-eyed junco) is the source of this 1571-nucleotide long non-coding RNA. Lineage: Eukaryota; Metazoa; Chordata; Aves; Passeriformes; Passerellidae. The record is from Ensembl.